This 131-nucleotide microRNA precursor is filed under the name Gossypium hirsutum (cotton). Its description in RNAcentral is "miR7492a stem-loop (ghr-MIR7492a)". The record is from miRBase by way of RNAcentral. Lineage: Eukaryota; Viridiplantae; Streptophyta; Magnoliopsida; Malvales; Malvaceae.
ACAAACGCCGCUAUAGAACAUGAUCUUUAGCGGGCGUUCUCCACAAACUUCGCUAAAGAACAUGACUUUAGCAGCGUUUUUUUAUGAGAAGUGUCGCUAAAGGUCAUGUUCUAUAGCGGCGUCCCACAUAA